AGCGAACGUUUGCGGCGGGCUUAACACAUGCAAGUCGAACGAGAAUCCCUUCGGGGAGGAAAGUGGCGCACGGGUGCGUAACACGUGGAUAACCAACCCAUUGGUUUGGGACAACACCGGGAAACUGGUGCUAAUACCAGAUGUGUCGCAGCUGUCUUCAGGCGGUUGCGAGAAAGGCCCGCAAGGGUCGCCAACGGACGGGUCCGCGUCCCAUCAGCUAGUUGGUGAGGUAAUGGCUCACCAAGGCAAAGGCGGGUAGCUGGUCUGAGAGGAUGAUCAGCCACACUGGAACUGAGACACGGUCCAGACUCCUACGGGAGGCAGCAGUGGGGAAUAUUGCGCAAUGGGCGAAAGCCUGACGCAGCCACGCCGCGUGAGCGAUGAAGGUCUUCGGAUCGUAAAGCUCUGUGGGGGGAGAAGAAGAAAGCCGGUGAAGAGCCGGCCCUGACGGUAUCCCCUUAGCAAGCACCGGCUAACUCCGUGCCAGCAGCCGCGGUAAAGUAU
RNAcentral lists this ribosomal RNA (504 nucleotides) under uncultured bacterium. RNAcentral's name for it is "bacterial SSU rRNA". It matches the Rfam family "Bacterial small subunit ribosomal RNA", at positions 29 to 526 of the family's 1533-position model. The record is from RNAcentral.